This 229-nucleotide long non-coding RNA is filed under the name Lathyrus oleraceus (garden pea). RNAcentral's name for it is "Pisum sativum (pea) long non-coding RNA (PSAT_LNC019701)". Lineage: Eukaryota; Viridiplantae; Streptophyta; Magnoliopsida; Fabales; Fabaceae. The record is from RNAcentral.
UCGGAUAUAAGUCCAUGUAUUGGCAUUUUGUUUCCUGUUUGUUUUGAGGAGUUAGAUAUAAGUCCAUCUAUUGGCAUUCUGUUUCCUUGUUGAGUGUUUCUUUUGACGUCUCAGCGUCUCUUUUUAGUGUUUGUUUCGGCGUGCGUUAGCCGAACUACGAGUGUUCUGAUUCUUACUCUGGAUAGAGAAGAUACGUAGGCAUAGGAUGUGAUAUCCUAGCGAGCAUGCC